This 520-nucleotide ribosomal RNA is filed under the name Trichoderma melanomagnum. Its description in RNAcentral is "eukaryotic LSU rRNA". The stretch from base 137 to 290 matches the Rfam family "5.8S ribosomal RNA". The record is from RNAcentral. Lineage: Eukaryota; Fungi; Ascomycota; Sordariomycetes; Hypocreales; Hypocreaceae.
GGGCGCGUCGCAGCCCCGGACCAAGGCGCCCGCCGGAGGACCAAUUUACAAACUCUUUGUAUGUCCCUUUGCGGAUUUUUAUUAUACAUUCUGAGCUUUCUCGGCGCUCCUAGCGAGCGUUUCGAAAAUGAAUCAAAACUUUCAACAACGGAUCUCUUGGUUCUGGCAUCGAUGAAGAACGCAGCGAAAUGCGAUAAGUAAUGUGAAUUGCAGAAUUCAGUGAAUCAUCGAAUCUUUGAACGCACAUUGCGCCCGCCAGUAUUCUGGCGGGCAUGCCUGUCCGAGCGUCAUUUCAACCCUCGAACCCCUCCGGGGGGUCGGCGUUGGGGAUCGGCCUUCUACCGGCCGGCCCCGAAAUACAGUGGCGGUCUCGCCGCAGCCUCUCCUGCGCAGUAGUUUGCACACUCGCACCGGGAGCGCGGCGCGUCCACGUCCGUAAAACACCCAACUUUCUGAAAUGUUGACCUCGGAUCAGGUAGGAAUACCCGCUGAACUUAAGCAUAUCAAAGUCGGGAAGGAA